Molecule: ribosomal RNA, 253 nt
Filed under: uncultured bacterium
Lineage: Bacteria
Description: partial 16S ribosomal RNA
Rfam family: Bacterial small subunit ribosomal RNA
Source: RNAcentral
UACGUAGGAUGCAAGCGUUGUCCGGAAUUAUUGGGCGUAAAGAGCGCGCAGGCGGCCCAUCAAGUCAGAUGUGAAAUAACCAGGCUUAACCUGGUGGGGUCAUUUGAAACUGGCGGGCUAGAGUCCAGCAGAGGAUAGCGGAAUUCCCGGUGUAGUGGUGAAAUGCGCAGAUAUCAGGAAGAACACCCGUGGCUAAGGCGGCUCUCUAGUACGUGACUGACGCUGAGACGCGAAAGCGUGGGGAGCGAACAGG